GGGCGAGUGGCGAAACGGCAGACGCAGGGGACUUAAAAUCCCUCGGGGGGCGACCCCCGCUGCGGGUUCGAAUCCCGCCUCGCCCACCA
This 89-nucleotide transfer RNA is filed under the name Planctomycetota bacterium. RNAcentral's name for it is "tRNA-Leu". It matches the Rfam family "tRNA". Rfam says of the family: Transfer RNA (tRNA) molecules are approximately 80 nucleotides in length. Their secondary structure includes four short double-helical elements and three loops (D, anti-codon, and T loops). Further hydrogen bonds mediate the characteristic L-shaped molecular structure. tRNAs have two regions of fundamental functional importance: the anti-codon, which is responsible for specific mRNA codon recognition, and the 3' end, to which the tRNAs corresponding amino acid is attached (by aminoacyl-tRNA synthetases). tRNAs cope with the degeneracy of the genetic code in two manners: having more than one tRNA (with a specific anti-codon) for a particular amino acid; and 'wobble' base-pairing, i.e. permitting non-standard base-pairing at the 3rd anti-codon position. The record is from RNAcentral. Lineage: Bacteria; Pseudomonadati; Planctomycetota.